GUUAAUGUAGCUUAUCAUAAAGCAAAGCACUGAAAAUGCUUAGAUGGAUUUUAUAAUCCCAUAAACAC
This 68-nucleotide transfer RNA is filed under the name Crunomys whiteheadi (Whitehead's spiny rat). RNAcentral's name for it is "Maxomys whiteheadi (Whitehead's spiny rat) tRNA-Phe". It matches the Rfam family "tRNA". Rfam says of the family: Transfer RNA (tRNA) molecules are approximately 80 nucleotides in length. Lineage: Eukaryota; Metazoa; Chordata; Mammalia; Rodentia; Muridae. The record is from RNAcentral.